AGUGAACGCUGGCGGUAGGCCUAACACAUGCAAGUCGAACGGCAGCACAGUAAGAGCUUGCUCUUACGGGUGGCGAGUGGCGGACGGGUGAGGAAUACAUCGGAAUCUACUUUUUCGUGGGGGAUAACGUAGGGAAACUUACGCUAAUACCGCAUACGACCUACGGGUGAAAGCAGGGGAUCAUCGGACCUUGCGCGAUUGAAUGAGCCGAUGUCGGAUUAGCUAGUUGGCGGGGUAAAGGCCCACCAAGGCGACGACCCGUAGCUGGUCUGAGAGGAUGAUCAGCCACACUGGAACUGAGACACGGUCCAGACUCCUACGGGAGGCAGCAGUGGGGAAUAUUGGACAAUGGGCGCAAGCCUGAUCCAGCCAUACCGCGUGGGUGAAGAAGGCCUUCGGGUUGUAAAGCCCUUUUGUUGGGAAAGAAAAGCAGCAGGUUAAUACCCCGCUGUUCUGACGGUACCCAAAGAAUAAGCACCGGCUAACUUCGUG
RNAcentral lists this ribosomal RNA (492 nucleotides) under uncultured bacterium. RNAcentral's name for it is "partial 16S ribosomal RNA". It matches the Rfam family "Bacterial small subunit ribosomal RNA", at positions 29 to 507 of the family's 1533-position model. The record is from RNAcentral.